RNAcentral lists this long non-coding RNA (1066 nucleotides) under Gallus gallus (chicken). The record is from RNAcentral. Lineage: Eukaryota; Metazoa; Chordata; Aves; Galliformes; Phasianidae.
UUUAAUUUUCCACCACUUCUGCAAUGUUCUUCUAACUGAGAAGUAGGAGAUGUCAUUUACUAGCAGGUCCUGGCUCCAUACUGCUAACUGUUUAAAGUAGUGGUAGAUUGCCUUCAGUUCUUCGUGGAUGUGACUGUCUGGCAAGGAAUGCUUGUCUUACUGCUGCUCUCAGUUACUCAAAAGGAAGAUCUGGUAUCAACACUGAACACUAGCUUUGGGAAUCCUGCUGUCUCGGAUCAGUAUGGGGAUAUAAGAUUGUGACUUUCCGGAGAUCUGGUAACAUUACACUUCCAGUGCAUUACUAAAACAAAACACAAGAUCCCUGAAAACUGAAAUAUGGUCAAGAAGAAAAACUGUCAAUUAAUUUAAGUGUAAAAGGAAAAUGUCAUGGUAAAGUGGAUUGGCAUGAAGACUGUGGAUUUGGGCAGUCCAGUCAAGGCAGACAAUCACAAAGGGGAAGCAGAGGCCAUGUGAAGUUGCAGGGUCAAACAGUCUCAGGAUAUGGUCUGCAUGUUAGCACUGAGUCAUCCCCGGGGAUCCAGAAGAAUUCAUUUGGAGAAGAAAGCAGAAGAAGCUGCCCUGAGCCACCGCAAGUGAUCAAUCACAAUUACACUAGCAAGGAUGAACACUUAAGAGCCUGGUGCAAACCCCUGUGCUGCUGAAUGCUUCGACGAUGGUAUGCAAGAAAACAGGAAGUUUCAGGAGUCAGUCCUCCUGAGAUGGAGCCCCCAGCACAAGAAAUAAGUGGUCCUGUUGGAGAGAGUCUGGAGGAGGCCAUGAGGAUGCUCAGAAAGCUUAAGCACCUCUUCUUUGAAGGCUGAGGGAGCUGGACUUGUUCAGCUUAUUCCUGCUUGGACAAAUGUUCCUUGUCAACUUCUUGAAAAAUAUGUGGACCAUACUGCAGGCUCUCUGUUGUCACAGCUAGCUGGUGGUGGUGUUCAGUCUAUCAUUUAAAGGUAAGAAUGAGAACAGACAAACUUUUACUUUAAAUAAAUUAUAAGAAGCUUGCUGGCCAGGUUGUGUGGAGAGGUAUUGUUGAAACUAGUUCAAGGAAAAUAUUGUUGUG